This 372-nucleotide ribosomal RNA is filed under the name uncultured bacterium. RNAcentral's name for it is "bacterial SSU rRNA". It matches the Rfam family "Bacterial small subunit ribosomal RNA", at positions 525 to 896 of the family's 1533-position model. The record is from RNAcentral.
ACGGAGGGAGCUAGCGUUGUUCGGAAUUACUGGGCGUAAAGCGUACGUAGGCGGCUUUGUAAGUCAGAGGUGAAAGCCCACGACUCAAUCGUGGAACUGCCUUUGAGACUGCUUCGCUUGAAGAUGGGAGAGGUUAGUGGAAUUCCGAGUGUAGAGGUGAAAUUCGUAGAUAUUCGGAAGAACACCAGUGGCGAAGGCGGCUAACUGGACCAUUCUUGACGCUGAGGUACGAAAGCGUGGGGAGCAAACAGGAUUAGAUACCCUGGUAGUCCACGCCGUAAACGAUGAUAACUAGCUGUCGGGGCUCUUGGAGCUUCGGUGGCGCAGCUAACGCAUUAAGUUAUCCGCCUGGGGAGUACGGCCGCAAGGUUA